GUGAGGAAUUUUCCGCAAUGGGCGAAAGCCUGACGGAGCAAUGCCGCGUGAAGGAUGAAGGCCUAUGGGUUGUAAACUUCUUUUCUCAGAAAAGAAUUAUGACGGUAUCUGAGGAAUAAGCAUCGGCUAACUCUGUGCCAGCAGCCGCGGUAAGACAGAGGAUGCAAGCGUUAUCCGGAAUGAUUGGGCGUAAAGCGUCUGUAGGUUGUUUAAAAAGUAGUCUGUCAAAGAUUAGGGCUUAACCCUAGAUAGUCAGAAUAAACUUUUAAGCUAGAGUUUGGUAGAGGCAGAGGGAAUUCCCGGUGGAGCGGUGAAAUGCGUAGAUAUCGGGAGGAACACCAAAGGCGAAGGCACUCUGCUGGGCCAAUACUAACACUGAGAGACGAAAGCGAGGGGAGCAAAUGGGAUUAGAAACCCUUGUAGUCC
RNAcentral lists this ribosomal RNA (426 nucleotides) under uncultured bacterium. RNAcentral describes it as "partial 16S ribosomal RNA". It matches the Rfam family "Bacterial small subunit ribosomal RNA", at positions 354 to 796 of the family's 1533-position model. The record is from RNAcentral.